GAUGAACGCUGACAGCAUGCUUAACACAUGCAAGUCAACUUGAACUUCGGUUUUUGUGGCGGACGGGUGAGUCACGCGUAAAGAACUUGCCUCACAGAUAGGGACAACAUUUGGAAACGAAUGCUAAUACCUGAUAUUAUGAUUAUAUGGCAUCGUAUAAUUAUGAAAGCUAUCUGCGCUGUGAGAGAGCUUUGCGUCCCAUUAGCUAGUUGGAGAGGUAACGGCUCACCAAGGCGAGGAUGGGUAGCCGGCCUGAGAGGGUGAUCGGCCACAAGGGGCAUGAGGAACGGCCCGUACGCAAACGGGAGGCAGGGGUGGGGAAUUGUGGACAAUGGACCAAGAGUCUGAUCAAGGUAUUCUGUGUGCACGAUGAAGUUUUUCGGAAUGAAAAGUACUUUCAGUUGGGAAGAAAAAAAUGACGGUACCAACAGAAGAAGUGACGGCUAAAUACGUG
RNAcentral lists this ribosomal RNA (454 nucleotides) under uncultured bacterium. Its description in RNAcentral is "partial 16S ribosomal RNA". It matches the Rfam family "Bacterial small subunit ribosomal RNA", at positions 28 to 507 of the family's 1533-position model. The record is from RNAcentral.